GUAGUGGCUCAGUGGUAAAGAGCUUGCCUGGCAUGUGUGAGGCACUGGGUUCAAUUCUCAGCACCACA
This 68-nucleotide transfer RNA is filed under the name Marmota monax (woodchuck). RNAcentral describes it as "tRNA.Ala". The record is from RNAcentral. Lineage: Eukaryota; Metazoa; Chordata; Mammalia; Rodentia; Sciuridae.